Molecule: long non-coding RNA, 1632 nt
Organism: Nothobranchius furzeri (turquoise killifish)
Lineage: Eukaryota; Metazoa; Chordata; Actinopteri; Cyprinodontiformes; Nothobranchiidae
Source: RefSeq, a predicted model, not a curated record
UCCGAUUGUCAUUUCAGAGACAAACAAACCUGCUGUCGUCUCAUGAUUCCAGUGAUGUCAUGCUCUCUUUUUCUUUUUCAGAACGUCACAUGAGCAGGAGCAGUGUGUUCUAAACACGCCUCCUCGCAGGCAGAGGAGGACAUGGAAACGUUGGAUCCUACUGGAUCUUUUGAAGAAGUUAUUUUAUCUCCUACUGAUGUGGUAGAGCAGCAACCACCGAGGAUGAUUCCCACCCAGCAACGGCACUAUUGAUUCUGGAGUCGUCCCGGCUGUUAACCUGUGGACGAGGAGCAGCUGUGAUGUCAAGAACCCAACGCUACAGAUGGUUUAAUAGUGUGUUACCUUCAGUAUCCAUAGCAACGGUUUCCCUGAAAUGAUCCUGCAACAUCACAGCAACUGUUUCUAUUUUUCCAAAACGAUUUAACAGUUGAAGCUAAAUUUUACGUUUGGAAUAAUAGGAUCACAGCAGAUUUUCCACGGAAGCAAGAGCAAGUAAAAGCAUUCCUGGGUUUUCUUUCUUUUAAACUUAGUUGAUAUGAUUAAAGGUGCAGUAUGUAAGAAAACAGUGAGGAUUUUACAGUGAGAAAAUCCAAAAAGAGUCAUGAGUAACGUUUCAGUCAUUUUGGAAGGAAGGUCAUGCUGAAACAUAGUUCAUAUCCAGCUGGCUGCAGGGAUUGUCAGUUUUUCUUCUUUCAAAACAAAGGAAGGAGGGACGUAGCUACUGUUUAUCAUCAGCGAGUGUGGGGUUGCCAUGUCUCUGCGAGCUAAUACUGCAACGUCGACAAUUAUAAUUUGACGAUGGCCGAGAAAAAGCUCCAGAGUUGUUUAAAGUGGUUGCAGUAACCACAUUUUACCACAGGAUGUAUUUUUAACUUCAUUUCUACACAAUGCACCUUUAAAGUAACAGUGUGUAGUUUCCCUGGAUUUAUGGGGCAGUACAUACCUAAACGAUUGUAAGCAAGCAUUACUUUUGUGUUCAAGUAAGAGCUUACCAACGGAUGGCCAUUAGGGUCAAAAAUGCGUGGGAACGCAACCUCCAGCAAAAUAAGCACAUCCGACUCCCUUUCAUCGCUGACAACGAGCGAAGAGGUAAAUGUGUAAAAUAACAACGUUUGGUGAAAGUUUUGUAACUGUUUGUUACAAAUCAGGAAAUGCAUUUUGUCCUCACGGGCUUCCAUAGAAGGAAAUACGGCAUCCAAAAUUAGACUUGCUGCCAUGUAUUUUAGAACAGAUUUUCAUGGUUAUAUGUUAUGAAACUGCCAAUAUUUUUAAUCAACUGAGCAUCUUUUAAUUCAUUUACAACAACAUUUUGAUGGAAAUUUCCAGAGAUUAAUGAUAAAAAAUACACAUUGUCUCUUGAACUUGUUUUUUUAUCACUUUCCUUUGUUUUUAAUAUCCAUCUUUUGUUUGUUUGGAGUUUUCAUCGUGGUUUUAACAUCAAUUUAAGCUGAGUGCAUAUUCAGUAACUCGGUCCUUUGUAUCAAAAUGCUGGAUGUUGUAAUUUUUAUUGGAUUUUUAUCUAACUUUGCAAUAAAGAAAAUUAUGUGAACCAUUAUAAUUGAAGCUCUGCAAACUGCAGCCGUGUAACGCUGACCAAUAAUGACUCCAACCUGAGUAAAGUUCAUUUAAAAC